AUUGAACGCUGGCGGCAUGCCUAACACAUGCAAGUCGAGCGGAUAAAGGGAGCUUGUUCCUGGAUUCAGCGGCGGACGGGUGAGUAAUUCCUAGGAAUCUGCCUUGUAGAUGGGGAUAACGUCCCGAAACGGGCGCUAAUACCGCAUACGUCCUGAGGUAGAACGUGAGGGAUCUUCGGAGCUCGCGCUAUCAGCUGAGCCUAGGUCGCAUUAGCUAGUUGGUUAGGUAAGGGCCUACCAAGGCGACGAUCCGUAACUGGUCUGAGAGGAUGAUCUGUCACACUGGAACUGAGACACGGUCCAGACUCCUACGGGAGGCAGCAGUAGGGAAUCUUCGGCAAUGGGCGAAAGCCUGAUCCAGCAAUGCCGCGUGUGUGAAGAAGGUCUUCGGAUCGUAAAGCACUUUAAGUUGGGAGGAACAAAAGUAAGUUAAUACAUGGCUGUUUUGACGUUACCAAAAGAAUAAGCCCCGGCUAACUACGUG
This 484-nucleotide ribosomal RNA is filed under the name uncultured bacterium. RNAcentral's name for it is "partial 16S ribosomal RNA". It matches the Rfam family "Bacterial small subunit ribosomal RNA", at positions 30 to 507 of the family's 1533-position model. The record is from RNAcentral.